RNAcentral lists this ribosomal RNA (445 nucleotides) under Nitzschia sp. (in: diatoms). RNAcentral's name for it is "Nitzschia sp. (in: Bacillariophyta) partial 28S ribosomal RNA". It matches the Rfam family "Eukaryotic large subunit ribosomal RNA", at positions 121 to 579 of the family's 3401-position model. Lineage: Eukaryota; Bacillariophyta; Bacillariophyceae; Bacillariales; Bacillariaceae. The record is from RNAcentral.
UCAUUUCGUCUCAUCUGCACUGAAUUGUGGUCUGUAGACGGUGACACUAUCAGCCGGGCCAAGUCCCUUGGAACAGGGCAGCUGAGAGGGUGAGACUCCCGUUCGCCCGGCAGAGUGAGUCGCCAGUCAACGAGUCGAGUUGUUUGGGAUUGCAGCUCAAAGUGGGUGGUAAAUUCCAUCUAAAGCUAAAUAUUGGUGGGAGACCGAUAGCGUACAAGUACCGUGAGGGAAAGAUGCAAAGAACUUUGAAAAGAGAGUUAAAGAGUACCUGAAAUUGCUGAAAGGGAAGCGAAGGAAACCAGUGUUGGGUUGGUCAUAUUUCCCAGUCUGCUUGCAGUUUGGGCGCUGUGUCCGUCCUGAGUUGUUCUUGGUUGUCGCUGGUGGAAGGGCGUGCGCAGAGUUGAUGCGACAUUGCCAGCACGAGCGUUGACUGAGGAGGACGAAA